RNAcentral lists this ribosomal RNA (301 nucleotides) under uncultured bacterium. Its description in RNAcentral is "partial 16S ribosomal RNA". It matches the Rfam family "Bacterial small subunit ribosomal RNA", at positions 509 to 807 of the family's 1533-position model. The record is from RNAcentral.
CAGUAGCCGCGGUAAAACGAAGGGUGCAAGCGUUACUCGGAAUUACUGGGCGUAAAGCGUGCGUAGGUGGUGGUUUAAGUCCGUUGUGAAAGCCCUGGGCUCAACCUGGGAAUUGCAGUGGAUACUGGGUCACUAGAGUGUGGUAGAGGAUAGUGGAAUUUCCGGUGUUGCAGUGAAAUGCGUAGAGAUCGGAAGGAACAUCUGUGGCGAAGGCGACUAUCUGGGCCAACACUGACACUGAGGCACGAAAGCGUGGGGAGCAAACAGGAUUAGAUACCCGCGUAGUCCCUGUCUCUUAUAC